GGGGUCGUAGCACAGAGGUAGUGCGCCGUGCCAUCUCGGAGGACGUCGGUUCGAAUCCGGUCGCCCCG
RNAcentral lists this transfer RNA (68 nucleotides) under Streptomyces sp. BK208. RNAcentral's name for it is "tRNA-Arg". It matches the Rfam family "tRNA". Rfam says of the family: Transfer RNA (tRNA) molecules are approximately 80 nucleotides in length. Their secondary structure includes four short double-helical elements and three loops (D, anti-codon, and T loops). The record is from RNAcentral. Lineage: Bacteria; Bacillati; Actinomycetota; Actinomycetes; Kitasatosporales; Streptomycetaceae.